RNAcentral lists this long non-coding RNA (1148 nucleotides) under Anser brachyrhynchus (Pink-footed goose). RNAcentral describes it as "lncRNA (ENSABRG00000013644.1)". Lineage: Eukaryota; Metazoa; Chordata; Aves; Anseriformes; Anatidae. The record is from RNAcentral.
GUGGUGUUCUACCUGGAUUUAGAAGUUCACAAAUAACUGUGUCUCUGGAAGAGUAAAGUAAUCUUAAAUAAAUGCCUGUGAUAACUCUUCCUGUUUCUUAGAGAUCUUCAGCCAACUUGCUUGGUUUAUAAACCGAAGUUGCAUACCAAAUGCUAUAUCGCUAUAGAAAAAUAUAACAGCUUACCAUAGUACCAAUAUGAUAAUUUUAUUUUAUUUUAUUUCCUCCAGAACCCAUUUCUCAAUGAGGACUCCACCAUUCAGCCAUCUCAAAACAAUUACCAUUGGAAAGCUCUAACUUCCAGAGGAGGAAGGAAUUGGUGUCAGAUGCCUUGAAUCGUCAGCUUCCUCUGAGCCUGGGCAGGCUUAUGGUUGCAGCACCGGAGCUCCGCAGUGGCUGGUGACACCUGGAAGAGGCUGCAGCUCUGCACCGCAUGUCCCUGGCUGCUGCAUCUCCGGCAGUGACUUUGCUCUCAGGGGAAUUCAAUAAUGGUCCUCAGGAGCUUUUGAGCAUGGAUUUGAAGAGUACAGCAGGGAAUACACAUGAAAAACAGCCAGGAUGUGCCACAAAGGUGAACAUCCACAGCACUAUCACCCCAUCACCCAGGUAUUUUACUGCAUCCAUUUCACAAAAGGGCACGAGCACAAAGAGAGUAAAUAGCCAUUAGGCAUGUGUGGGGCCUGAUGAUAUGGCUAAUACGGAGAAAAUUAAACGUAUUACCCAGAGAAAACAAAACACCAUGAGAAGAUGCCAAUGGGACGCAGAACCAGCAGUACUUUCUGUAAGGGUCCAAAUUCUCAAUUUUCCAUCCAGGCUUUUGAAAUAAGGGUGGCUGCUUCUGUGCCACUGUGGCUUUGGGGGCAAUGUGCUAAACUUGCUCGUCUGAGCAACACAGAUGAAUAGAAUGUGAUGCUGCGCCACUCAAACAUAAAAGGUAAGAACUAUCGUUGUGGCAUUGCCAGUCACAUGGGCACACUGAGUUGCAGCCAAAAGCCCCAGUGAAGUUAAUGGGACGACUCCUGGUGAUUUCAGGAGGUUUUGGAGGAGGCCUCAUGGUUAUACAGUGCUCUGUGAGAGAUCUGUGUUACACAGGUCCUUCAGUGUGUCCAGCCCAAAUAAAUAAAGGUGUAUUUUUUACUCCUUGCUGUAA